CAGACGGUCAACACUGGGAACGAGAUCCUGGAAGAAGCAAAUGCCAUCAGUUCCCCGAGGAGUGUCUUCACGGUUGAGGAGGAUGGAUGGUUUCUCCAGACUGUGGACACCGAAUGGUCUUGUGAGAGUCCUGACAUCCAAGAGGCCAAGAUCCCAGAAGACAACACUAGGGAUCAGGAGCUGGACGUGGAGAGCUUUGUCAGUUCCCCGAG
Molecule: long non-coding RNA, 212 nt
Organism: Hemicordylus capensis (graceful crag lizard)
Lineage: Eukaryota; Metazoa; Chordata; Lepidosauria; Squamata; Cordylidae
Exons: 3
Source: RefSeq, a predicted model, not a curated record